Cicer arietinum (chickpea) is the source of this 1075-nucleotide non-coding RNA. The record is from RefSeq and is a predicted model, not a curated record. NCBI's taxonomy places the organism in Eukaryota, Viridiplantae, Streptophyta, Magnoliopsida, Fabales, Fabaceae.
AAAUUAAAAUAUUCAAUGUCAACAUGGAGAGAGUUAAAAUAUCCAACAUGUGUCAGUAUAUGAGAAAUGUCUUUAAGUUUAUAAAUGCUGAUAAAGAAGAGAGAAAUAGAAAAAUAUGAAGAAAAAAAAUUUAAGGUGUGUAAGCUCAUUUAAACUUGCUUAGGAAGAUAUUAUUUAGAAGACCUAGUCAUUGUAAGAUCAUUUCAACUUUUCUUUUUUAUAAGUGCUUGAUGAAUCACUUGUCUCUCUCCCUAUCCAAACCGGCUCUUACUAAAGGAUGUUAAGAAUCACUAUAGUAGAAAUUGGAUUCAGUUAGUCACUAAAUGCACGUAAUUAUGCAAUCAAUAAUUGUUGACUGUUCGAUCUAGAUCAAAAGGCCCGAAUCUCAAAUAGUUUUAAUUUUUUUAAAAACUAAAAUUAUUGAACAAGAGAUCUAGAUUGUCGAAUUCAUUGACUACGUGAAUGCGUGCAGUAAGUGACUGCACCGAAUCCUUAACUAAUAGUGCCUAAUUGCUUUUGCAUUUAUUGAGAAUAGCACUUCUAGAAAGUGUUUCUUGCUACUUUGUUCCGAGUAAACAUCAUUGAUGUUUCGCUCAAACUCCUACUUUUGAUAGGACGUAUUUUAUAAAGAUUUUGUUCCAAGCAAUGUUAUCGACUGCGGAUGGUAGACCAUGGCAAAAAGCCAAAAAAACCCACCAUUUUAAGCCGCCAUAUCAGCUAUAAAAUGCCAUGGCGCAGCCACCCUUAACAAAUUGUUCGUGGUGGUUGUAAAAAAAAUCUGCCACUACAAUCCCUUAUGGCACUGCCAAGAAAGCAGGGCCUAAGGAGAUGAAGCAUAUGAAAGCUUUUAGAGCAAACACUGGACCGUAAUCACUGAUAGUGAAUCAAACUAUUGAUGUUACUUUCAAGUUCCAAUUCCAUGGGAUGCUGAAAAAGUAUUGAGAAGAAGUUCGAAGGAUUGAAGACUUCAAGCCACAAUGCCAUUAGCAUAGGAGUGGGGGAACAUUGUAAUUCAUUCUCAUUGAAUACAAACAGAAGGUUUAUUACAUUUUUUAGGUCUUUUGUAGUUUUUGAA